AUAUUUUUGAGUCUCUAAAUUUUUAUCUAUUGUUAAAAAAUUAGCUUUUAUAUAGAUUUUAAGUGUAGCAUUAGUUUUAUUAAUAGAUGAAGGAGUAGACAAGCAGGUGCGUUGGUAUAUAUACAAAGCUACAACAUGUUUGAAUAAAAACGGGUGUUAAAAAAAAAAACAGAGACUCAGGGGCGGUGCGAGAGAAAAGAGAAAAAGGGGGCUAGGGUUUUGAUCUCUGAAACUCCAAUCAAUAUACAAUCGCAUCUGGAGGUGAAGGUUGAAGUCAUUCAUCGCGUGUUUAUAUACAUGUAUGCAUCCGUUUGUGUUUGCGUGGGUUGCCUUCGGAGGUUGGUUUGAUGGGAGUUUGAUGGGUCGAGGCGGCGCUGUUGUCGCUCGAGUGGUGACCAGAUGGUGGUGCAGCGGCGGCAAGGACGCCGUUGGUUGCAAACAAAGAGGGUUUGAAGGGCGGCUGUUGACUGGUAGCCGAAGGUGGGUUUAAUAACAGAAGUCGCGUCGGAGAACAGCAGCCUGGCAGCCGUUCAAAACAAAGGGGGUUGUUGUGAGGUUGAUUUCUGACAAUUGAAGAAGGGGAGAGCGAGAUGGGUAUGGCGGUAGCUGGAGCUUCGUGGUAACCGGAAACGAAAGGAGAUGGAGGUUUGUCCGGCGGCAAAGGGUUGUUUACUGGAGGAAUGAGAUGUGAGGGUUGGUGUUUGUGUUGGUCUGUUUUUGAGUGAGUUUUUGUAUGAUCGUAUACAGAGUUGUGUAGUCAUAGAUGCUUAUGGUUGAUUGUUUGGGCGCUGAUUUAGGAGGCAGAUUAAGGAAGGGUGUUGGCGGCUAGAUGGAGGGCUGCUUGGUGAGAUAAAACAGAUGGGGGAUUGGUACAGGGGCUGUUAAUUGCUGAUGGGUUAGAACAGAGCAGGUUGGGGAAGACGAGGUGGGGUGUAUUGUUGAUUGCUGCAGAUCGGAGUUCAUGACUAUCGGCUGAACAGUGGUGGUGAGACCAGGGGAAAACAAGGGAGAGAGCGGGGUUGGUUGGGAACCGCCAAAGUCGAUGGAUUGUGGUGAUAGUUUGUGAAUUUACAGGCCAUAGUAUAUGUGUUGUUGAGACUAUUGUCGGUGAUUUAGAUAGUAGUACUUGGUAUGAGGGUGAUAUGGAGGUGUUUGCGGGGUGGUAGUUGUUUGCACUGGUGCCGCUGGUAGUAUUUGUGGCUUGUGUGUUCUAUGAGUUCAUAUGUGUUCCGAUAAUGUUGGAGAGGUUAUUACAACAAGAGAUGGUUGAUUGUUGGUAUGUGGUGUUAGAAGUGAAACUAGUAGUAGCUGGGGAUAUAAGGUGGAGGUUAACAAAAUUGGCCGGAAAAUGAAAUUGUCUUGGGGUUGCAGGAAAGGGGACAACAGGAGUGGUGAUAAAAUUGUUGUUAAGGGUGAUGUUCUGUGUUGGUGCUAAUUAAAAAUAAGGGAGUUACAGUGAGGGUUGCGGGACAGGAAAUGGUCAAAAAUCCGGCUAUGGCUUACUGACCCGAACCAGAUAGGCGGAGAGAUAGAUAUUUUAUUAAUUAAUUAUGUAUUAUUGAAUUAUUUUUAAUAUCGGUAUUAUUAUUAUUAUCAGUUCAAUGGAUAAUAAUAAUAUAAUUGAUAUUUUUAAUAAUCUUGAUGAUUAAUAAUUGAUUAAAUUAAAUUCUAUUUCUAUUUCGAAUAAUAGCACAUAAAGGUAGUUAGUUGAGUUUGAAUUGUUUGGAUUAUAAUUCUAUCUGGAUUUGAGAUUAUUAUGGAUAAUGCUACGUGCGUUAUAAAUAGAUGAAUUUGAGUAGGUGCAAUGUUCUAAGGUUCUGCAUUUAGAAUUUAAAUUCGAAUAUUCGAAUAGUUGAAUGGCUGUUGAAACUUCAAUUUGUAUUAUUCUUAAGAUAAUACGUGAUUAUUGUAACUAAUUUCCGGACUUUAUUUUAUUAGAAUCUUGUGACGAUUGCUAUAAGUUUUAUUAAAAUUCUGGAAAUUAUUGUUAAUUGUCGGAUCUGAUUAUUAUUUGAACCGCAUGGCGUUUGCUCGAUUUUAAAAGAAGUGCUGUCCAAAUUCUAAUUGAUUAUUAUUUUAUUUUGAUUAUAUUUUGAGUUGAUUUGAGAUGUGAGUUGGAUUACAAUUGGACUUGUAAUUUGGAUUUGGAUUAUAUCCAAGGGUAUACUUUUGAUGUGCUUAGUGUUUUGUAUAUAAUCAAAUAUAAGAUUAUAUACAGAAUUACUAGAUUAUAUUUAUAUUUAUAUAAAUAUUAAAGCAUGUAAAUUAUUUGAUACGUGCUUAUGUGACUACGUGUUCAACUGUUUGACAUAAUGUGUAUAUAUAUUAUUUGUAUAUAAUAUUUUUAUAUUGCGAAGGGUAGUAAUAUAAUUUCGAUUCUGCAAGUUCAACGACGCUUUGGAUUAUUCUUCAACUGAAGUAUUGCAUGCUGUCAUAUAUAGUUUAUCGAGAAGCGUGCAUCAACGACUUUCAGAAGCAAGCCGAUAUUGUUGCAAGUCAAGUCAGAAUAGUUUGAUAAGGCCAGUUGUGCCGUAAGAUAGUCCAGUAGAGAGUAGUCAUUGCAGAGAUUAGCAAAGUUGAGGCCAAUAUAGGAAUCUCGAGUAGAGUGACUGUGUGUCACCGGUUUUCUAUCAGAGGCAAGUAUUCCUAUUCUUCUCUUUUAUUUAAAGAGCAAAUAUUUCAAUUCCUCUUUUCAUAAAGAAAGUUUUAUAAUUAUGACUUGUAUUUCUUGCAAGCAUGACUAUCCAUUUCUGAUAUGAAAAGUACAAAUGCUUUAAUCUUUAUCCUGUGAUUAAAUUAUCGAAUAUCUUUAGUUCGAUACUUUUUACUGUUAUAUGAGCAGUGGCAACUUUAUUUGAAAAGCAUUCUGAUUAUUUUUAAUCAGUUUUCUGGAAAUUAUUGUCUGAGUUACUUUUCAGUUUGGAACCAUUGAUUACACUAUAGUAGUCAUAUUUCGAUACUACAAUAUAUGCCUGGUCUUCUGUCCCAGACAUAAACCCUGGAUUUUAAAUAGCGAAAAUAACUUUAUUAAUUCCCUUGUGCCGUAUUGCGGUGAACUUCAAAACUAUACUCAGACUUUGUAAAAUUGGUUUUGACAGUAUUUUGAGAUUGAAAACAAAAGAGUUUUCAGAAAAGUUUUGAAAGGAUGAUUUUAUGGCGUAUGGGGCUAUUUAAUAGUCCAGCCAGAUAGACCAGCAAAAUAUUGUUUUGAGAACAGGUGUUAAUCAUCUGCUUCCGGAAGAAAUCGGAAGAUUUCUUUGUUUUUGCAUAGGUGGCCGGGACGGCGGUCCAGCGAAGGGCUAGGUAUUAUAUGAAAUAUGUAUAAUACCAUUUCUGCCAAAGGCCAAUGUGUUGCCUUCUGUUUGGUACCUAUUGUUUGGAUCUGCUUCUACGAAGCAUGAUUCGGUGCUAUCACUGGAUUUCCUGAUCAGCUGUGGUAGUACGUCCGUUGUUUAAAACCUGGUCAUAAUUAUUUAAGCUUAUGAUAGCUUAUGUUUAUUGUCAAAUUUAUCUUGUGAUUUUCGAGCAUAUUGAUUUAUAUGUUUGAUAAACUUUUGAGUGACAAAUAUUUAGAUUAUUUCAAAAGUUUACUUUAUUUCAAAUACUCUGAUUUAAUUCAAAAGAAAUUAUAUCUUGUGGCUCUUGCCUUUUAAAUUAUCUUGCUGAGCAUUUUCGCUCACCCUUGCUAUUAUUUCUAACUCUUUCAGUUAGGGAUUGAGAUGGUUACCUGUAUAAGCUGCGCGUAAGAUUGAUGCUAGGCGAGAUGGCCAGGAAGAUAUCUG
RNAcentral lists this long non-coding RNA (3782 nucleotides) under Daucus carota (carrot). RNAcentral describes it as "long non-coding RNA (DCAR_LNC005152)". Lineage: Eukaryota; Viridiplantae; Streptophyta; Magnoliopsida; Apiales; Apiaceae. The record is from RNAcentral.